RNAcentral lists this ribosomal RNA (465 nucleotides) under uncultured bacterium. RNAcentral describes it as "partial 16S ribosomal RNA". It matches the Rfam family "Bacterial small subunit ribosomal RNA", at positions 338 to 795 of the family's 1533-position model. The record is from RNAcentral.
CCUACGGGAGGCUGCAGUAGGGAAUCUUCCACAAUGGGCGAAAGCCUGAUGGAGCAACGCCGCGUGGGUGAAGAAGGUCUUCGGAUCGUAAAACCCUGUUGUUAGAGAAGAAAGUGCGUGAGAGUAACUGUUCACGUUUCGACGGUAUCUAACCAGAAAGCCACGGCUAACUACGUGCCAGCAGCCGCGGUAAUACGUAGGUGGCAAGCGUUAUCCGGAUUUAUUGGGCGUAAAGGGAACGCAGGCGGUUUUUUAAUUCUGAUGGGAAAGCCUUCGGCUUAACCGGAGUAGUGCAUUGGAAACUGGGAGACUUGAGUGCAGAAGAGGAGAGUGGAACUCCAUGUGUAGCGGUGAAAUGCGUAGAUAUAUGGAAGAACACCAGUGGCGAAAGCGGCUCUCUGGUCUGUAACUGACGCUGAGGUUCGAAAGCGUGGGUAGCAAACAGGAUUAGAUACCCGAGUAGUC